AUGAACGUUGCGGUCAUGUUACGAUGGGUCUGGCAGAUCCUGCGAGGCGAGGGCGGCUUGUGGCUUCAGCUCCUUCAGGCGAAAUACCUUUGGGGUGAGCCUCUCCUGGCCUGCUCCCGCUUGGGAGGGUCUCAGUUUUGGAGAUCCAUCCAAAAGAUCAAGGAGGACAUUUGUCUUGGAAUCUCCUUCUCUAUAGGAAAUGGGGAUGGGACCCAAUUUUUGCUGGACCCCUGGGUGGGUACCGAGCCGCUUAGGGUGAGCUUUCCUGGCCUAUUUUCAAUCUGCACUAACCCGCUACUACUCGUCUCCGCGGCUUCCCGAUCUAGACAGUGGAAUAUCCGGUUCCGUCGUACAUUUGGGCAACUGGAGCAUGACGAGUGGACUAACUUGCGGGCGGCCCUACCGCCGGUGCUGCCAAACUGUCUGGACACAGUGUCUUGGCGGCUCUCACCGUUGGGUGAGUUCUCGGUGAACUCAGCAUAUCAGGCAUUAUGCCAAUCACCCACCGUUCCAUGGCUUUCUCCCACGUGGAAGGCCACUUUGCCCUUGAAGAUUAAUAUUUUUGUGUGGCAACUACUACGAGAUCACAUCCCUUCGGGGGACAAAAGUGCUUUAACAGCAUGGCCCCGGUGA
Molecule: ribosomal RNA, 633 nt
Filed under: Triticum aestivum (bread wheat)
Lineage: Eukaryota; Viridiplantae; Streptophyta; Magnoliopsida; Poales; Poaceae
Description: partial small subunit ribosomal RNA
Source: RNAcentral